RNAcentral lists this unclassified non-coding RNA (200 nucleotides) under Hevea brasiliensis (rubber tree). The record is from RNAcentral. Lineage: Eukaryota; Viridiplantae; Streptophyta; Magnoliopsida; Malpighiales; Euphorbiaceae.
UCUUUAUAGCUUUGUUGAUUAAUUUUUGUCGCACCAAUUUGCGUGUGAAAAAUGUAUGGUUUUGAUGGUUUGCUGUGAUCAGGUCCAAAGCUUUUUUUUUUUUUUUUUUGCUCUUUGCAGGUCUUGUGCAACUGAUUCUGCCUGUGAAGUAGCCUCAUGGGUUUUGAAUGAACGUUCUCCUUUUUACUUUUUUUUUUUUU